CUGCUCUGUUGACUGUCGCCGUGGUAACGGGGCGGCUGACACACUGUUUGAAUGGAUCUACAGUCCAACUGUCAGAGCUGCAGAAUGCCUCAGGAACAAAAACUACCUCCAGCGGGACCCGCCCCUCCCUCCUCCAGCUGAGCCCUCCAGCUGUUUGUGGACAGCGGACGUCAUGCAAAUGAGCCUCAGACUCCAGCCAAUGAGAAGCAGAGAAGCUGAGAGGAGGACAAACAUGGAGGAUGAUAAAGAAUCUGUUACUUCAACUGAAACUGAAACAAACAGCUGAUCCGUCUUAUCAACACUCUCACUGCACCUUUAAUUCACACUCGUCAACACAACCUGAGCUAAAUCAACAUGUUAGUAUAUUUGCAUGACCUCUGACCUCUGUUCUCUGUGUCACCAUGGCAGCAGCUGUAUGUCCUGGUACAGAUGUUACAGAUGUUACAGAUGUUCCAUUUAUUAUUAUGAAAUGAAGCAUCGUGAGUCUGUCUCAUGAUUGGUUGACAGUUGUCGUCUGAUGAUCAGGUGAUAAAUGUCGCUCAAUAGAUAUUAAAAAGUUGCGCAACGUUUUCAA
Thunnus maccoyii (southern bluefin tuna) is the source of this 574-nucleotide long non-coding RNA. RefSeq lists it as uncharacterized. The record is from RefSeq and is a predicted model, not a curated record. NCBI's taxonomy places the organism in Eukaryota, Metazoa, Chordata, Actinopteri, Scombriformes, Scombridae. The transcript has 2 exons.